CUUGCUCUAGUUUUAAACUGUUCUUUUCUAAAAUGAUUUUAGAUUGAAAAGCUUGCUCUAUGGCUGGCUUGUGAACCUGUUCAGCCAUUGCUCAUAGGCUUCAAUAGAUCCAAUUAAUAGAUCUAACUAAUUCAUACAUUGUAAGCUUUGAAAGGUCUCUUGGUUCUUCUAUUGCAAUAACGAUAUGUUCAAAUUUUUGUAGCAAACUUCUAAGAAUUUUUUCAAUAACCUUCUUGAGGAUAGUAUCACCACAACUUUUUAUUUGAUUAAUAAUUUCAACAGUCUCGAGAGAAAAUCUUUAACAACUUCACUAUCUUUC
RNAcentral lists this long non-coding RNA (319 nucleotides) under Elaeis guineensis (African oil palm). RNAcentral's name for it is "long non-coding RNA (EGUI_LNC033400)". Lineage: Eukaryota; Viridiplantae; Streptophyta; Magnoliopsida; Arecales; Arecaceae. The record is from RNAcentral.